UUGCACUGUUUAAGUUAUGGACUUAAGAAAAAAGUGUUGAUUCCUUGCAGCAAUGGCUGCAAACAGUAGCCUCCUCGAUAGUUAUACAAGCAGCAGGCUUGUAUAAGUGGUCCUAAGGGACGGUGGAGACAGCC
This is a small nucleolar RNA of Manis pentadactyla (Chinese pangolin), 134 nucleotides long. RefSeq annotates it as small nucleolar RNA SNORA70. NCBI's taxonomy places the organism in Eukaryota, Metazoa, Chordata, Mammalia, Pholidota, Manidae. The record is from RefSeq and is a predicted model, not a curated record. The transcript has a single exon.